UGGGGAAUAUUGCACAAUGGGCGAAAGCCUGAUGCAGCGACGCCGCGUGAGGGAUGACGGCCUUCGGGUUGUAAACCUCUUUCAGCAGGGACGAAGCGCAAGUGACGGUACCUGCAGAAGAAGCACCGGCUAACUACGUGCCAGCAGCCGCGGUAAUACGUAGGGUGCAAGCGUUGUCCGGAAUUACUGGGCGUAAAGAGUUCGUAGGCGGUUUGUCGCGUCGUUUGUGAAAACCAGCAGCUCAACUGCUGGCUUGCAGGCGAUACGGGAAGACUUGAGUACUGCAGGGGAGACUGGAAUUCCUGGUGUAGCGAUGAAAUGCGCAGAUAUCAGGAGGAACACCGGUGGCGAAGGCGGGUCUCUGGGCAGUAACUGACGCUGAGGAACGAAAGCGUGGGUAGCGAACAGG
This 409-nucleotide ribosomal RNA is filed under the name bacterium. RNAcentral's name for it is "partial 16S ribosomal RNA". It matches the Rfam family "Bacterial small subunit ribosomal RNA", at positions 355 to 776 of the family's 1533-position model. The record is from RNAcentral.